AACAAAUUAAGACCGGUUCAUACUACCAAGGUCAGGUUAGCACGUGAUUUGAGUGGAAAGAGUAGAACUGCUGAUAUGGCUGAUAAGUAGAGCGACGUGGGUCGUCUUUUAAAAUUCAAAUGGAGUUACAUAACCUCAAUGUAAAGUGCGAUGUGAUGCGUAACAUGGGGAGCAACAGUCUUUGAGAAGCUGCCAGUUGCCCAGCCAUGAACGAAAGAACGUUCCAUGAUUUUAUGGAACCCUAAGGGACUGAAAAAAUCACAGAAAAUCUGUCAGAAUAGUCACCAUCCCAGCUGAGAUUUGUGCCUGGCACUUUCUGAAUACAAAUCAAAAGGGUUCCUGCUUGAGCCACUGUUCUAACAUAACAUCAUACAAGUUUGGAAACCAGAUUGUGGCACCAUACAGCCCCAUAACAUGCUGCCUCAAUCUUCUGGAUCCUAGUUUCCAUUUACAGCACUAGUGAAAAUCUUGGGUUAUACCUUUGGGUGUAUCUAUAAAACUCACACAAUGUGAUCAAAAUUCAGACAUAUGAAUCUGAAUGUGGUGAUGAUGGUUCAAAUCAUGUCAGUUCUUCCCACUGCUAUAAACACAGAAUGAUGGCCACGUUAUGGAACCUUCAGCCUACACACAAGAAGUGACAUAUUUCCAUUCAUCCUGGAAACUCCUGUGUCAGUCCUGAAUUAUCUUUUAUAAUUUCAAAAUACACAGGCAUGUGCAAAUCUAAAAUCAGGCAUUAUAAUUGCAUCUUUUCUGAGAGACAAAAGUGACACUUGGUGAUCUCUACCUGAAAUUCUGCCAGUAUCAAAGACCUUGUGGCACAGAGACAAUGGGAAACGCUGGAACACUAUCAUAUUCUCCUGAUACAAGCCAUUGCAAUUUCAGUCUCUUCUUGAAGAUGAAGGAACCUCUCUGACAGAAGCGGUUUCACCACAGAAAAAGUGUUGAGCAUACAACUAGGGGGCAUAUAGCAAAGAUGAAGGAAACUCAAUCUGGAGAUGGCAUCGACCACCCUUCAUGGGUGUGGAAACAUAUUAAGACAUAGGCAAGGACAUAUAUUCUCAUGAAGACUAAUAAAGAAAUUAUUAAUACAGC
This is a long non-coding RNA of Cryptotermes secundus, 1092 nucleotides long. RefSeq lists it as uncharacterized. NCBI's taxonomy places the organism in Eukaryota, Metazoa, Arthropoda, Insecta, Blattodea, Kalotermitidae. The transcript is spliced from 2 exons. The record is from RefSeq and is a predicted model, not a curated record.